GGGGAAUAUUGGUCAAUGGAGGGAACUCUGAACCAGCAACGCCGCGUGAAUGAUGAAGGUCUUCGGAUUGUAAAGUUCUUUUCUAAGGGAAGAAGAUAGUGACGGUACCUUAGGAAUAAGCCUCGGCUAACUAC
Molecule: ribosomal RNA, 134 nt
Filed under: uncultured bacterium
Lineage: Bacteria
Description: partial 16S ribosomal RNA
Rfam family: Bacterial small subunit ribosomal RNA
Source: RNAcentral